CCCGCCAUGGUUAAGUCUUUAACCGUGGCGAUUUCGAAAACCGCCUCGGUUAAGCCAUGAUUAACCGUGACCUUAUGUCCAUGGCGGUUGCGAAAACUGCCACGGUAAAUGAAAAAUGCCCGCCACGGUUAAGUUUUUUUGUAGUAGUGUGGUUGGUCGCAAGAUAGAAUGGUUGUAACAGACUCACCAUUCAUUCAUCCCUUGAUAGACCAUCAAUCCGGAGGUUUUAUAAUUUUUUGCAAAAUAAAUAAGUUCCCCGAAUGAUUCUCUCGAUCACUCAAUGUGUAUGAAAUCCUCACCAAAGGCAUUUGUGUUUGCCAUUAAGACCUACCACUAAGGCUGAGAAUGGAGCGUUGGGAAGGUAUUAAGGGUGGGCGUACUUACGACUCUUGUGUUGCUAAGUCAAGGCCCGGACCAUGAGGAGAUACAAGUCAUACACCUUGAUUGAGAUGUGCAAGUGUGCGGAAUUUUUGGUGGUAGUCCUAUCUAAAUAUUUUUGGUUUCUCCUUGUAUCAUGACUCUCUUUAUUUGAGGAAGAGAAUGAGAGAAUGUAAACAUAUGGGCCCUAAAAAAUGGAUCAUAUAUAUAUAAUGAAGGGGAUUUUGAUAUUCCCAUCCAUGCCCUUUGGCUUUUCCUUCAUUUUUUUUCUUUUUUUUCAUGGAUAACUGAUGCCCACAUGUUUCAAAGGGAUCUCAAAGAGGAAAAUGGAGAGAUGUCAUGAUGGUGAUGUAAGGAGUAAAAUUGUGUAUGGGGAUGCGCAAACCUCAUGGUGUGAGUUUGGCAUACUUAUUUGGUCGAAGCUAAGGCGCAACUCUCAAAGUAAGACUUGGCAUAUUUAUGGUGGAUGGAAGGGUGCAUGUUGUGCGCAACUUCUUAGUGUGAGAGUGGACUUUAUUUGGUGGGUGCGUGAAUCUUAUAUCAUGGGUGCAUGACCAUAAUCUCACUCUAGGAUACCUGGGAUUUGACUCAACUCAAAGCGCCGCAAGCCGCCUAUGACUAAAGGUGUACAAACUACUAAGCAAGUCAUAUGGCCUUGGUAGGUAUUUUAUAAUCAUUGAGGAACUCUUUGUUUUGAAUUUUUGAAAAGAAAACUCCAGAUGUUAAGUUUCUCUUAGAACAAAGUCAUAGCAAAAUCUAUGUAUACCAUAUCAUGUCUUGCAACAACUUAGAAAAGGAUCAUGCAUUUGCAACCCACAAUAUUUCAAGUUCUUAGAAUGAGACAUUUUUAGCCAACAAACUUAAAUCUUGAUGAACACUAAAUUAUAACUUAGAUACUAUAGAAUUAUAGAUAGAACAACUAUUCAUCAUUUCAACAGAAGAGAAACUAAUAUAUCAUAGAGCACAUGAGAGUG
This 1352-nucleotide long non-coding RNA is filed under the name Sorghum bicolor (sorghum). RNAcentral describes it as "long non-coding RNA (SBIC_LNC008587)". Lineage: Eukaryota; Viridiplantae; Streptophyta; Magnoliopsida; Poales; Poaceae. The record is from RNAcentral.